GAUGAACGCUGGCGGCGUGCCUAAUACAUGCAAGUCGAGCGAACGGACGAGAAGCUUGCUUUUCUGAUGUUAGCGGCGGACGGGUGAGUAACACGUGGAUAACCUACCUAUAAGACUGGGAUAACUUCGGGAAACCGGAGCUAAUACCGGAUAAUAUUUUGAACCGCAUGGUUCAAAAGUGAAAGACGGUCUUGCUGUCACUUAUAGAUGGAUCCGCGCUGCAUUAGCUAGUUGGUAAGGUAACGGCUUACCAAGGCAACGAUGCAUAGCCGACCUGAGAGGGUGAUCGGCCACACUGGAACUGAGACACGGUCCAGACUCCUACGGGAGGCAGCAGCAGGGAAUCUUCCGCAAUGGGCGAAAGCCUGACGGAGCAACGCCGCGUGAGUGAUGAAGGUCAUCGGAUCGUAAAACUCUGUUAUUAGGGAAGAACAUAUGUGUAAGUAACUGUGCACAUCUUGACGGUACCUAAUCAGAAAGCCACGGCUAACUACGUG
Molecule: ribosomal RNA, 497 nt
Filed under: uncultured bacterium
Lineage: Bacteria
Description: partial 16S ribosomal RNA
Rfam family: Bacterial small subunit ribosomal RNA
Source: RNAcentral